Molecule: long non-coding RNA, 2292 nt
Organism: Symphalangus syndactylus (siamang)
Lineage: Eukaryota; Metazoa; Chordata; Mammalia; Primates; Hylobatidae
Source: RefSeq, a predicted model, not a curated record
GCCGCUGCCAACCCGGAAGGAGCCCGGGCGGCCAGGGCGCCCCCGCCAGGAGGCCCGCCAGGUGUCCACCUGAGCCCCACGCCCUGCGCCCUGCGCCGCGGGGCCCUUUUAGGGGCAGGGUGCCAGCUCCGAGGUGUCCUCCCACGGGCUGUAGACUGGGAAACUGAGGCCCGGGCGACGGUCCCACACGCAGCUGGGACCCGAACCCACCUCACCUGAGCGAAUGAUAUCGGGGACUCCUCCUUUUUCGACACCUUUGCGGGAUCCAGCCCUCCAGGGAAAGCUUCCUGAGCAGUGCGCGCCAUGUGUACUGGGCACCUCACCGCGGCCACUUCACAUUGUAUCUCAGGUGGAGAAACUGAGCCACAGAGAGGAGCUGUCAUUUACCUAAAGCACCAUGGCAGGGAUUUGGCAGAGCCAGGAUUUGUACCCAGAUCGCCUGACUUUGGAGAGUAUCAGCUCUUAACCACAGCACUUUGGUCUAUGCCUUGAUUUCACCAUAUGUAACAAGUAGAUGGGGUUUCACCGUGGUCUCGAUCUCCUGGCCUCAUGAUCCGCCCUCCUCGGCCUUCCAAAGUGCUGGGAUUACAGGCGUGAGCCACCGCGCCCGGCCCUAUAUGUGGAUUUUCUUCUGCCCCUGUCACCCCUGAGACAGCAAGACCACCCAUUCCUCUUCCUCUUCCUCCUCCUCCUCAGCCUACUCAACAUGAAGACAAGGAUGAAGACCUUUAUGAUGAUCCACUUCCACUUAAUAGCAAAUAUAUUUUUUCUUCUUUAUGAUUUUCUUAAUAACAUUUUCUUUUUAAAAUUUUUUUUCGUAUUUUUAAGAGAUGGGGUCUUGCUAUGUUGCCCAGGCUGGUCUUGAAUUCCUGGACUCAAAUGAUCCUUCUACCUCAGCCUCCCAAAGUGCUAGGAUUACAGUUAGGAGCCACCACACCUACCCACAUUUUUUUUCCUCUAGCCUACUUUAUUGUGAGAAUACUGCAUAUAAUAACAUACAAAAUAUGUGUUAAUUUUUUUUUUUUUUUGAGAUGGAGUUUCACUCUUGUUGCCCCAGCUGGAAUGCAAUGGCGUGAUCUUGGCUCACUGCAACUUCUGCCUCCCAGAUUCAAGCGAUUCUCCUCCUCAGCCUCCCAAGUAGCUGGGAUUACAGGCAUGUGCCACCACACCCAGCUAAUUUUGUAUUUUUAGUAGAGACAGGGUUUCUCCAUGUUGGUCAGGCUGGUCUUGAACUCCUGACCUCAGGUGAUCCACCUGCCUCGGCCUCCCAAAGUGCUGGGAUUACAGGUGUGAGCCACCACACCCAGCCUUAAUGGACUGUUUAUGUGAUCAGUAAGCUCCUGGUCAGCAGUAGGCUGUUAGUGGUAAAGUUUUUGGGGAGUCAAAAGUUAUGUGCACAUUUUUGAGUGUGCAUGAGGGGGAUCAGUGCCUUAAUCCCCAUAUUGUUCAAAUGUCAACUGUAAUAUGAUUAAUUGUGGAAAUUUUUGCAAUGUCUAAAUCAGAUAAAAAGGCUAAUUUUCUCCACAUAUAAAGAGCUUUUACAAAUCAGUAACAUUUGAUCAAUGACUUAAUAGAUAAAUGAAUAAAAGUUGUGAACAGACGACUAACUCAGAAUGAAAAGGCUUCACUCAAAAGAAGAGCAAUGUGCUUACGUGUGGUGACUCACACCUAUGAUCCCAGCACUUUGCAGGCCAUGGCAGGAUGAUUACUUGAGACCAGAGUUCAAGACCAGCCUGGGCAAGAUAGCAAGACCCCUAUCUCUACAAAAAAUUUAAGAAUUAGCUGGUUGUGGUUGUGCACACCUAAGCAAGAUCGUGUCUUUAAAAAAGAAAAAGAAGAAAGAGAAAGAGAAAAAAAGAAUUCAAAUGAAAAUCACAAUGCAAAGCUGAUGGGUCUCACUCAUCACCAGGCUGGAGUACAGUGACAUGAUCACGGCUCACUGUAGCCUCAACCUCCCAGGUUCACACUAUCCUCCCACCUGAGCCUCCCAGGACCACAGGCGUGUGCCACCACGCCCAGCUAAUUUUUUGUAGAGAUAGGGUUAUGCCAUGUUGCCCAGGCUGGUCUCAAGCUGCUGGGCACAAACAAUCUACCUGUCUCAGUCUCCCAGAGUGCUGGGAUUACAGUCGUGAGCCACUGUGCCCAGCCAACAGUGUCUUUCAAAGAGCAGAGAGAGGUUAAUUUUGAUGAUGUCCAGCUUGCACCUUUGUUGAAAAUUGAUCACAUAUCUGUGAGUUUGUUUCUAGACUCUUUGUUCAGCUUUAUUAAACUACUUGUCUAUUUGUACACCAA